CUUAAUUAACCUUUGAAGAUAAAUUGCUCUUUUGGGUUUGCCUUGAUUGUCUUGAAGAACAACCCUCUUUCCAUGAAAAUCACUGCCAAGCGAUGUCGUUUUCAAUCUCAAAGUCUGACGAUUCACUUUUCGGGAGAACCCUUUAACGAGUAAAAGAUGAAGAGAAAGAAGAAGAAACCAUAUUGGUAUUGCUCAAAACAUAAGCCAUAAUUACCCACAACAAAAAGAAGCAGCAGAAGGAACCAAAAAAAAGUUCCGAAUAUGAGAAAAUGAUAAGAGUUAGGGUUCAAAAGAUGGAGGUUUUGAUUUGCUUUUGCUUUUUCCCUUUGAG
This 331-nucleotide long non-coding RNA is filed under the name Manihot esculenta (cassava). RNAcentral describes it as "long non-coding RNA (MESC_LNC008657)". Lineage: Eukaryota; Viridiplantae; Streptophyta; Magnoliopsida; Malpighiales; Euphorbiaceae. The record is from RNAcentral.